GCACCGACAAAGCCGAGGAUCUCGCCGCGCCGGACAUCGAGGUCGAGAUGAUCGAGAAUGAGGUUCUCGUUCAGCUUCACCGUGAGGUCGCGCACCCGGAUGAUCGCAUCGUCGGAAUAGGACGCCAUGGUCGCCACCUCAAAUAUUGAUCGUCGCGAAGAAGAUCGCGAACAGGCCAUCCAUGACGAUGACGAAGAAGAUCGAUUUCACCACCGAUGCCGUGGUGUGCUGGCCGAGCGACUCGGCGCUGCCCUUCACCGCAGCACCCUCAACGCAGGCCACGAUGCCGAUCACCAGCGC
This 300-nucleotide unclassified non-coding RNA is filed under the name Hevea brasiliensis (rubber tree). Lineage: Eukaryota; Viridiplantae; Streptophyta; Magnoliopsida; Malpighiales; Euphorbiaceae. The record is from RNAcentral.